RNAcentral lists this ribosomal RNA (465 nucleotides) under uncultured bacterium. RNAcentral describes it as "partial 16S ribosomal RNA". It matches the Rfam family "Bacterial small subunit ribosomal RNA", at positions 339 to 795 of the family's 1533-position model. The record is from RNAcentral.
CUACGGGAGGCUGCAGUGGGGAAUUUUGCACAAUGGGCGAAAGCCUGAUGCAGCAACGCCGCGUGAAUGAAGAAGGCCCUUGGGUUGUAAAGUUCUUUCGGCAGGGAAGAAGGGUCAGACGGUUAAUACCCGUUUGAUUUGACGGUACCUGAAGAAGAAGCACCGGCUAACUCCGUACCAGCAGCCGCGGUAAUACGGAGGGUGCAAGCGUUGUUCGGAAUGACUGGGCGUAAAGAGCACGUAGGCGGGUUUACAAGUCAGAUGUGAAAUCCCCGGGCUUAACCUGGGAACUGCACCUGAAACUGUAAAUCUUGAAUAUCUGAGGGGUUGGUGGAAUUCCGGGUGUAGGAGUGAAAUCCGUAGAUAUCCGGGGGAACAUCGGCGGCGAAGGCGGCCAACUGGCAGUAUAUUGACGCUGAGGUGCGAAAGCGUGGGGAGCAAACAGGAUUAGAUACCCCAGUAGUC